UCUAGCGGUUUCUUGCCCUCCCCUCGCUGCUCCUUUCCCACCCAGCCCCAGUGCCACCUUCACUCACGGUGGUGAGCAUUCUAUCACGUGAGUAGCGCCAUUAAAGUCAAGGGGAUGGGUUGUGUGAGUCCCCACCGACAUGAGUAAGGCGUGGAGCUAUCCAGCCCUGCUGCUGGCUCUGUCCUCAACUAGUGCGGGGAGGAGGUGAAACGUGUGGAAAUGCUCCACAGUAAGCAGCCUGCACAUGGCCAGUGGGCAGAUGCCCUGAAGACUUCUAGUGUACCGGAGACAGGCAGAGACAGCAGAGUCCUCCGCUGCCAGUCUAGGCACAAGACAAGGUUACAAGAGCAAUUCCAAGCCAGCCGUGCCCUGGAGUUGGGAGCCAGUCACCAGGCAAGAUCCAUGCUGGGACAGCCACCCUUCAGGUACUGUUUGAAACAGGUAAGCUCCGUGGUGACAGCCAAUUCUAGUUCACAAGAGAACAUGGGAGGCCUCUUCCACAGGACGCCAAAGACCAGCCCAAUCGGCAGCAUGGAUGGGUGGGAGACGCAUGCCCACAACAACAACUAUAUUGGCAGACGAAUACUACCACAUCCAGGCAAAGUGAGCCCAAGGCAGCUCCCAGCCAGAUUCCGCCACCCCCACAGGCAGCAAUGAGCAGCAGCCAGAUCCUACUCAGGAGACACAGCAAACCAAAGAGUCUGUGUCCAAAGGCUACAAAGGAAGGGGCAGAUGUGGGCAGAUACUGAUGCCAUGACAGUCUCAGCAGCCAUUGGGAGCUUGAUAGAAUGCUACACGGUGAUAGAGGAGAGCCGCUCCCCCACCUCCUACUGAGGAGAACUGGGCAGGGGUGGAUUAUUCAUUUCCCUGUGAAACAUUUAAAUGAAAAUUAAUAUUUUUUUGUUUUCAGCUCCAUUUUUCUUUUUUUUCCAGGUUUUCAUCAAAAAAACCCAAAUCUUAGAUAGAAAUUUAUUUUUUUUCCCCACAAAAACUUCCAUUUCACAAGAAAGCCAUUUUCCAUCAAAAACAAAAGGACAAUAACAAAAACCCAAACAAGCAAAACAAAGUUUUGGUGAGAAAUUCUCACCCAGCUCUACCUCUGACAGCAUGUGAUUGAUACAAUGGUUUUCUGGUGGGGCUGCGUUAUCAUAGCUAGACCCGCCAGUGAUGGGGUUUGUACCCCACACAGGCCCUGAAAGGAUUCCUGAGAGGCCAAUUAACAAACCUGGCAGCACCUGUGAGAGAGAGUGAAAGCCAGGCUUAAUUGAUAAUGAAGCUCAGCUGAGGAGGGGCUGGGUAGUGAUUAUAAAACCAGGAAGUUUGUAGCAGAAAGGGGUUGCAGGGAGGGACUCUGUAGUCACUCUUUCAGGGCUAGAUGAGGUAGGAAGUGGUCCAGGGAGGCAGCAGGGCAUAGACCAUGGCUGACAUCUCUGGGAUCCCUGGGCUGGAACACAGAGCAGUGGGAGGUUCCAAGGAAGGUGGGGUGAAACCUGAUGAGGUAAGGGUUUAAGAACCAUAGAGCCCAGACAGACAGAAGACCUGCUGUAAGAUCACUGGACUACAACUUGGUUGGUCUCUGUUACUCUGGAAGAGGUAGACUAAAGCCUGAUCUGGCUGGAAGCCCAAGUUUUGGAAAGAGAAACCACCACAUUGAUGGAGCGACCGUUGGCGGGGGGUGCCAUAUGGGGAGAUAGCUGCUACACCAUGCCUGGCCACAAGGAGGCAUUCCUGUGGUGAGUGAACCCCCUUACACUGCCAUCCUGCCAUAAAUGGAGAAUAAGGGAGUGUGACAGCAAAUAACGGUAACCCAUAGAUGGAAGAAUCAGGGCAGUAAGGGUGCCAUGCUGUGGACAGUCCAGUGGGUGAGGCUUCUAAACAAGGCCAUGCACGCUCCAUUCUCUAAUGCAGAGACAUGUAUGCAGAGAGCACAGAAACAAGGCAGCUUAGCACACGGUCGGGCACAUUGUCCCUCAGCGAUGGUGGCCCAGAUGUCAGCAGAUACAGACACAUGCACAGUUCCCUAGAGCAGUGAAGCAGAAAAACCAGCCCCAGUUUGGGACAUUCUGAGCAGGGAGAUGCUUCACACUCAGUGAAGAUGAACAAGAAGAAGUAGAAUGACCCAUGCCUAGAGGAUUGCCAACAGUCCGGAAGCCACAUGGUCAGCUGAUAUAAAUUGGCAUAGCUCCACUGGUCAAUGGGGUUAUGAUGAUUCCAUCAACUGAGAAUCUGGGCCGGAUCUGCCUAGGUAUUCUCACAACCCCCAGCUCCGUAGUAUCUGAGCACCGCAGGCUGGACAUCACAGCCAUCUAGUCAUGAGGCACUAACUUAUGAGAACUGAGCGAGGGCAUCCAAAGGCUUUAUAGAAAAACCUGUGCUUAGUUGGAGCUCAAUCCAUUCAGAAAUGCUCUGGAUUGGUGUAUCAGACUCCUCAGCAAAGGGGAUUGUACCGCACCAGCAAUGUCAAAUGCUAUUAUCCUGCAUGAAAGUAGGCAUGCAAUGGGGACAUUUGAAUCGAGCCCUUGUUCAACCUGCAAAUACGCUAAAGCUACGCUGGUUUUAUGGGCUCACUAUACAGACUUGAGAUACCAUUACACAAAUGGCAUUUUACUUUUAUUCUCCACCGUCGGGAAAGCCCACUCAUCGCUGCAUUACUGGCAUUAUUCGUUUACCAUCAAGGCUAUUUUCUUCUCUGGUGGAAAAAGCCAAACAGAUGGUGUCCCUCUCCUUUCUCCACCACAGCAGGAGAGAACAAGAGAGGUGAAAAUGAGACAUGGAAGGGACUAUGAGGAGCUUGGCAUGUGACACAAUGAGCUGUUGCAGAGGGCCAUUUAUGGAGCUAUGUUCAUAUCAGGGCUGGGUAAUGCAUUAAGUGAAUUGGGGGGUCUAUCAUUUGAGGCUGGGCUUUGCACAAAGGGAAUUAGGCACUGCAGUCCCAUUGAUUAAGGCUUCUUUGAAAAUCCCAGCUUAGUACCAUUGGAACACAUGGCAAAAUGACUACACAAUCUGGGACCAUUUUUUCAACAGCUCUCCUCCGGAGACAGCCAAGCCCCAACAUCUCUGCUUUCUGGAACAAGUAGCCGUUCCACCAUGGUCUGCUGACCGGCCCUGCUGUAUAUUGGCACACACAGUUGCUGGAACUGGGCCAACUUCUAUCCAGCAUCUUUUCUUAAACAGCCCACUCCUGGGGAGCCUGAAGACUCGCAGAUGCCAGACCCUGGCAGCCUCAGGCAGGUCAGAACUGGAGUUCCCAGGCCAAAUUGCAGCUCUGGCUCUCCAAAUGUAGGAUGCUUGAGAGAUAUUGAAUUGGAAUGACUAACAUGACAUGGAAUAGGAGAUAACUGCAUUGACAGCAUUGGAUCUUAGCAUUAUAUUCAUAUUUGUAUUGUGGCAGCACCCCUCAGCUCCAGUCAGGGAUCGGGGCUCCCACUGUGCUGGGUGCUGUCUGCACAGACAAACAGAUACAGGGACCCUAAGAUAUCAGCAAUACAGGUAGGAUCACGAGUAUAAUUUGCAAUGGUUGCUAUAUAACCAUUAUAGGGAUCUAGGCCUGGAUUAGUGGUGGGUUGGGUUUGGCAGGUUAAGAUGGUCGUGCAUUGACAAAUCUGUGUGUGCAAAGCUCCCAUCACACCUAUCCACAGCAUCAGCCCUUCCUUCUCACAAGUAUUUUAUCCACCCGCAGAUUGUUUUUAAGACAGAUAAAUCAUACCAGAGGUAUUAUCUGCUUGUCGUAUUUUCCUUCAGACUAUGUAUUCAUUGUCACUUGUCAUUGUUUCCUAGUGUUCUGCAUCAGGAUAGAUUGUUUUCUGGGUUGGAGAGAUGUCAGCUAAUGUAGAUUGACAAUCUAGGGGUUCUCACAACAAAAUUUUUGGCAGCCUCAGAGCACGGCCACCAACUCUUGCUGGUGGCCACUCUGAGAAUUUUUCCUAAAAUACGUAAUUAACUUUAGGAAAAAACAAUCAAUAUGCACAUAGACAAGUCCAGGUCAUUGUAAUUUAUUGAUAUCAAGUAUUUUUUGC
Molecule: long non-coding RNA, 4016 nt
Organism: Chelonia mydas (Green sea turtle)
Lineage: Eukaryota; Metazoa; Chordata; Testudines; Cheloniidae
Exons: 3
Source: RefSeq, a predicted model, not a curated record